GAUGAACGCUGGCGGCGUGCUUAACACAUGCAAGUCGAACGGAAAGGCUCCUGCUUGCAGGGGUACUCGAGUGGCGAACGGGUGAGUAACACGUGGGUGAUCUGCCCUGCACUUCGGGAUAAGCCUGGGAAACUGGGUCUAAUACCGGAUAGGACGAUGGUUUGGAUGCCAUUGUGGAAAGUUUUUCGGUGUGGGAUGAGCUCGCGGCCUAUCAGCUUGUUGGUGGGGUAAUGGCCUUCCAAGGCGUCGACGGGUAGCCGGCCUGAGAGGGUGUACGGCCACAUUGGGACUGAGAUACGGCCCAGACUCCUACGGGAGGCAGCAGUGGGGAAUAUUGCACAAUGGGCGCAAGCCUGAUGCAGCGACGCCGCGUGGGGGAUGACGGCCUUCGGGUUGUAAACUCCUUUCGCUAGGGACGAAGCGCAAGUGACGGUACCUGGAGAAGAAGCACCGGCUAACUACGUG
This 465-nucleotide ribosomal RNA is filed under the name uncultured bacterium. RNAcentral's name for it is "partial 16S ribosomal RNA". It matches the Rfam family "Bacterial small subunit ribosomal RNA", at positions 28 to 507 of the family's 1533-position model. The record is from RNAcentral.